This 248-nucleotide long non-coding RNA is filed under the name Lathyrus oleraceus (garden pea). RNAcentral describes it as "Pisum sativum (pea) long non-coding RNA (PSAT_LNC014806)". Lineage: Eukaryota; Viridiplantae; Streptophyta; Magnoliopsida; Fabales; Fabaceae. The record is from RNAcentral.
CUUCCGGCCAACCACCACAACAAAUCCAUAGCCAUCGCCUUCCUUCCAACCUUCAAGUUUCAUCGUAUUCAACACCGUAUUUCAGACCCGCAACCUACGUUAGCGCCGUUAACAACAACACAAAUGAGCUCCAAUAGCACCGGAGAUUCGUCGACUCAAUACUUCGUUUCGAAAGACGGCAUACUCAAUGCUCUUGGCUGCAUUCAUAUUGAAGGAGAAAUGGUUUUCCAUCCUGAAUCAAAAAGCAU